Molecule: ribosomal RNA, 1225 nt
Filed under: Lactiplantibacillus plantarum
Lineage: Bacteria; Bacillati; Bacillota; Bacilli; Lactobacillales; Lactobacillaceae
Description: bacterial SSU rRNA
Rfam family: Bacterial small subunit ribosomal RNA
Source: RNAcentral
GGGGAGGGCGGGUGCUAUACAUGCAGUCGAACGAACUCUGGUAUUGAUUGGUGCUUGCAUCAUGAUUUACAUUUGAGUGAGUGGCGAACUGGUGAGUAACACGUGGGAAACCUGCCCAGAAGCGGGGGAUAACACCUGGAAACAGAUGCUAAUACCGCAUAACAACUUGGACCGCAUGGUCCGAGCUUGAAAGAUGGCUUCGGCUAUCACUUUUGGAUGGUCCCGCGGCGUAUUAGCUAGAUGGUGGGGUAACGGCUCACCAUGGCAAUGAUACGUAGCCGACCUGAGAGGGUAAUCGGCCACAUUGGGACUGAGACACGGCCCAAACUCCUACGGGAGGCAGCAGUAGGGAAUCUUCCACAAUGGACGAAAGUCUGAUGGAGCAACGCCGCGUGAGUGAAGAAGGGUUUCGGCUCGUAAAACUCUGUUGUUAAAGAAGAACAUAUCUGAGAGUAACUGUUCAGGUAUUGACGGUAUUUAACCAGAAAGCCACGGCUAACUACGUGCCAGCAGCCGCGGUAAUACGUAGGUGGCAAGCGUUGUCCGGAUUUAUUGGGCGUAAAGCGAGCGCAGGCGGUUUUUUAAGUCUGAUGUGAAAGCCUUCGGCUCAACCGAAGAAGUGCAUCGGAAACUGGGAAACUUGAGUGCAGAAGAGGACAGUGGAACUCCAUGUGUAGCGGUGAAAUGCGUAGAUAUAUGGAAGAACACCAGUGGCGAAGGCGGCUGUCUGGUCUGUAACUGACGCUGAGGCUCGAAAGUAUGGGUAGCAAACAGGAUUAGAUACCCUGGUAGUCCAUACCGUAAACGAUGAAUGCUAAGUGUUGGAGGGUUUCCGCCCUUCAGUGCUGCAGCUAACGCAUUAAGCAUUCCGCCUGGGGAGUACGGCCGCAAGGCUGAAACUCAAAGGAAUUGACGGGGGCCCGCACAAGCGGUGGAGCAUGUGGUUUAAUUCGAAGCUACGCGAAGAACCUUACCAGGUCUUGACAUACUAUGCAAAUCUAAGAGAUUAGACGUUCCCUUCGGGGACAUGGAUACAGGUGGUGCAUGGUGUCGUCAGCUCGUGUCGUGAGAUGUGGGUAGUCCCGCACGAGCGCACCCUAUAUCAGUGCAGCAUAGUGGGCACUCUGGUGGACUGCGUGACACGAGGAGUGGGGAUGACGUCAAUCAUCAUGCCCUAUGACUGGCUACCCACGUGCUACAAUGGAUGGUACACGAGUGCGAAUUC